RNAcentral lists this ribosomal RNA (433 nucleotides) under uncultured bacterium. Its description in RNAcentral is "bacterial SSU rRNA". It matches the Rfam family "Bacterial small subunit ribosomal RNA", at positions 27 to 508 of the family's 1533-position model. The record is from RNAcentral.
GGAUGAACGCUGGCGGCGUGCCUAAGACAUGCAAGUCGCGGGGGUUUAGACCCCCGGCGAACGGGUGAGUAACACGUGGGAACUUUCAUUAAGUUCGGAAUAACCUCUCGAAAGGGAGGACAAUACCGGAUGUGGUCGCGAGACUAAAGCCGCAAGGCGCUUAAUGUGAGGCCCGCGCUCCAUCAGCUAGUUGGUAGGGUAAAAGCCUACCAAGGCUAUGACGGAUAGGGGGCCCGAGAGGGUGAUCCCCCACACUGGGACUGCGACACGGCCCAGACUCCUACGGGAGGCAGCAGUUGGGAAUUUUGGACAAUGGGCGAAAGCCUGAUCCAGCGACGCCGCGUGCACGAAGAAGGCCUUCGGGUUGUAAAGUGCUUUUGAUAGGGACAAAUUUUGAUGGUACCUAUAGAAUAAGAGGUUGCUAACUCUGUGC